This 361-nucleotide RNase P RNA is filed under the name uncultured Bacteroides sp. RNAcentral's name for it is "Bacterial RNase P class A". It matches the Rfam family "Bacterial RNase P class A". From Rfam's summary of the family: Ribonuclease P (RNase P) is a ubiquitous endoribonuclease, found in archaea, bacteria and eukarya as well as chloroplasts and mitochondria. Its best characterised activity is the generation of mature 5'-ends of tRNAs by cleaving the 5'-leader elements of precursor-tRNAs. Cellular RNase Ps are ribonucleoproteins. The record is from RNAcentral. Lineage: Bacteria; Pseudomonadati; Bacteroidota; Bacteroidia; Bacteroidales; Bacteroidaceae.
AGUCGGCCGGUCUGUCGCUUGCACUUCGGGUGCAGGAGGAAAGUCCGGGCAACACAGAGCAUCCCACUUCCUAACAGAAAGCUGUCCGCGAGGGUGGAGUAACGCAGAAGAAAAGAACCGCCUCCGGGCUUCGGUCCGGCGGUAAGGGUGAGAAGGCGGGGUAAGAGCCCACCAGUCUUGUGGCGACACAAGGGCUGUGCGUCUUGGGAGUUGUAAGGUCAUGUAAACCGGCGUUCAUGAGGGUUGCUCGCCCCAUGUCGGAGGGUAGACCGCUAAAGCCGUCUGGUGACAGGCGGACGAGAUAAAUGACAGACGUCCCGUGCUUCACGGGAAACAGAACCCGGCUUACAGGUCGGCUGCU